This 434-nucleotide ribosomal RNA is filed under the name uncultured bacterium. RNAcentral describes it as "partial 16S ribosomal RNA". It matches the Rfam family "Bacterial small subunit ribosomal RNA", at positions 29 to 507 of the family's 1533-position model. The record is from RNAcentral.
AGCGAACGCUGGCGGCAGGCCUAACACAUGCAAGUCGAACGAACCUUUCGGGGUUAGUGGCGGACGGGUGAGUAACACGUGGGAACGUGCCUUUAGGUUCGGAAUAACUCAGGGAAACUUGUGCUAAUACCGAAUGUGCCCUUCGGGGGAAAGAUUUAUCGCCUUUAGAGCGGCCCGCGUCUGCUUAGCUAGUUGGUUGAGGUAAUGGCUCACCAAGGCGACGAUCAGUAGCUGGUCUGAGAGGAUGAUCAGCCACAUUGGGACUGAGACACGGCCCAAACUCCUACGGGAGGCAGCAGUGGGGAAUCUUGCGCAAUGGGCGAAAGCCUGACGCAGCCAUGCCGCGUGAAUGAUGAAGGUCUUAGGAUUGUAAAAUUCUUUCACCGGGGACGAUAAUGACGGUACCCGGAGAAGAAGCCCCGGCUAACUUCGUG